GGGAAAAGCUCAAAUUUUGAAUCUGGCGUCUUUGGCGUCCGAGUUGUAAUUUGUAGAAGAUGCUUCGGGUGUGGCUCCGGUCUAAGUUCCUUGGAACAGGACGUCAUAGAGGGUGAGAAUCCCGUAUGUGACUGGCUGCCUUCGCCUAUGUGAAGCUCUUUCGAC
This 165-nucleotide ribosomal RNA is filed under the name Hymenoscyphus sp. RNAcentral describes it as "partial large subunit ribosomal RNA". It matches the Rfam family "Eukaryotic large subunit ribosomal RNA", at positions 100 to 261 of the family's 3401-position model. The record is from RNAcentral. Lineage: Eukaryota; Fungi; Ascomycota; Leotiomycetes; Helotiales; Helotiaceae.